This 440-nucleotide ribosomal RNA is filed under the name uncultured bacterium. RNAcentral's name for it is "partial 16S ribosomal RNA". It matches the Rfam family "Bacterial small subunit ribosomal RNA", at positions 338 to 795 of the family's 1533-position model. The record is from RNAcentral.
CCUACGGGUGGCAGCAGUGGGGGAUAUUGCACAAUGGGGGAAACCCUGAUGCAGCGACGCCGCGUGUGGGAAGACGGUCCUCUGGAUUGUAAACCACUGUCCCCAGGGACGAAGAUGCCGUUACCUGGGGAGGAAGCUCCGGCUACCUACGUGCCAGCAGCCGCGGUAAUCCGUAGGGAGCGAGCGUUGUCCGGAAUUCCUGGGUGGAAAGGGAGCGUAGGCGGGACUGCAAGUUGGGUGUCAAAUCUACCGGCUCAACCGGUAGCCGCACUCAAAACUGCAGUUCUUGAGUGAAGUAGAGGCAGGCGGAAUUCCUAGUGUAGCGGUGAAAUGCGUAGAUAUUAGGAGGAACACCAGUGGCGAAGGCGGCCUGCUGGGCUGUUACUGACGCUGAGGCUCGAAAGUGUGGGGAGCAAACAGGAUUAGAUACCCCAGUAGUC